Molecule: ribosomal RNA, 253 nt
Filed under: uncultured bacterium
Lineage: Bacteria
Description: partial 16S ribosomal RNA
Rfam family: Bacterial small subunit ribosomal RNA
Source: RNAcentral
UACGUAGGGGGCAAGCGUUAUCCGGAUUUACUGGGUGUAAAGGGAGCGUAGACGGUUAUGCAAGUCAGAAGUGAAAGCCCAAAGCUCAACUUCGGGACUGCUUUUGAAACUGUGUAACUAGAGUGCAGGAGGGGUAAGCGGAAUUCCUAGUGUAGCGGUGUAAUGCGUAGAUAUUAGGAGGAACACCGGCGGCGAAGGCGGCUUACUGGACUGUAACUGACGUUGAGGCUCGAAAGCGUGGGGAGCAAACAGG